UACCCCUACGGGACGCAGCAGUGAGGAAUAUUGGUCAAUGGGCGGGAGCCUGAACCAGCCAAGUCGCGUGAAGGAAGAAGGUACUUAGUAUUGUAAACUUCUUUUGUCGGGGAACAAAGGCGGAGACGCGUCUCCGGAUGAGUGUACCCGAAGAAAAAGCAUCGGCUAACUCCGUGCCAGCAGCCGCGGUAAUACGGGGGAUGCGAGCGUUAUCCGGAUUUAUUGGGUUUAAUGGGUGCGCUGGCGGGGGAUUAAGUCAG
RNAcentral lists this ribosomal RNA (260 nucleotides) under uncultured bacterium. Its description in RNAcentral is "partial 16S ribosomal RNA". It matches the Rfam family "Bacterial small subunit ribosomal RNA", at positions 334 to 591 of the family's 1533-position model. The record is from RNAcentral.